This 1538-nucleotide long non-coding RNA is filed under the name Citrus x clementina. Its description in RNAcentral is "Citrus clementina (C. clementina) long non-coding RNA (CCLE_LNC003236)". The record is from RNAcentral. Lineage: Eukaryota; Viridiplantae; Streptophyta; Magnoliopsida; Sapindales; Rutaceae.
UGGAAGUAAUGAGAUUAGAAUAAUAAUUAAUCACAAUCUUCAGAUUCCUUUUCCCAAUUUAUCUAUUUCAUACAUUGGAUUUUAGUCCAUUUUUUUUUCGUUCAAUCAAUCAAUUUUUUAUUUUAAACCUUUUUGUUGAUAACCAAAACUUGAUUGCUUGAGUAACAAUAGAUUUUCUUGGCUGUGAAGAUAAGGGAAUACAUAAUUAUGAGAUUAUAGCCAGAUUUGAAUAAAUUCAGGAAGCACAAUAUUAUAUAUCUUGAGUGAUAAAAGUCAGUAGUUGGUCAUUUCUCUUUUAUAAGUUUUAAAUUGGUUGUUUCAAAGAAGAAGAAGAGAGAGAGAGAGAAAAAAAAAAGAAUUGGUGGCUGGGAAUAUCAUAUGGAUGUUGAUUGAUUUAAUCCAUGUUGACUCCUAAUAUAUUUUUUUUUUUUAGACUGAUUAAUCAUCAGAUUACUGCAUUACACAGAUAUUUACAACAACUGCUUAUUGUAGCAGAGAUAUUACACUGAUAUUUACAAUCAGAUAUACAUGAUUGAGACUUACAUUAUUACAAUGAAUUCUAUGAAGUACAUGCCCAAUACAAAUAACCCCUCACAGGAGAGGAUGUCCAUACUCCACUUGCAUUUCGCAAGGGAGAUGGAUAUAAAGAACAUUUAGCCCCCACAAUGCUUUUGUGGGGGCUAGAACCGCUGCCCUCACAAGCAUGCAAGGGAGAUGGAUAUAAAGAACAUUUAGCCCCCACAAUGCUUUUGUGGGGGCUAGAACCGCUGCCCUCACAAUGCUUGUGAGGGCAGCAGCCCACCACUUCAGCCAAGGCCGAAGUGGCAUGUUGACUCCUAAUAUAAAAACAAUUUUGAUUGAUUUAACAAUUCAUAGUGACAAUAUUCCAUUAAUAAAAUACAUUUAUUCAAGAAAGUAGAUUAGUAUAAGGGACAUUGUUAAAACACACUAAUAUGAAUUGAAGCCUAAUGCUUUUGUUGGUCAAAAAAGACAAUUUGAUGGCUCACCAAACUCCGCUAGCAUGUAUAAGUGCUAAAAGACUAUUGAAUGCUGAAUCUUUUCUUAAGCGCCACAUCACUAACUUGGGAAGAAGUCACCAUUUCACUUGUAAUAAAUUUAUUAACCUCAAAUUUCAAUCCCUGCAGGAAGAAAAACAAAAUCUCAAAGGGGUUGAAUUUUUAAGAACUUUGCACCGCGCAUUUACACCAAAUUGGAUUUUUUAAGAAUUUUUGCAUCAAGUUAAAAAUGUCACGUGUUGCAUGAAGUUUUCACUUCAUGCAUUUAACAUGCAGCGGAGUUUGAUGCAACAAUUAUGAAAACUCCCCAAUUUAUUAUGCUACCGGCCAGUUUAAUAGGGAUUGGAACGCGGUUGUGUUCAUGAGGCAGGAGACCACCGGAAGUCAGAAGAACUCUUUAUGAAAGAGGAAAAAGGAAAGUAAAAAAAAAAAACGUAAUAUAAAGUUUUGGUUAGACCAUUGAAAUUUCAAAUCCUCCGCAAUUCCAAUUUGAUUUUGAUUCUUGUACACGAAUAAAAAUAU